RNAcentral lists this ribosomal RNA (445 nucleotides) under uncultured bacterium. RNAcentral describes it as "bacterial SSU rRNA". It matches the Rfam family "Bacterial small subunit ribosomal RNA", at positions 29 to 523 of the family's 1533-position model. The record is from RNAcentral.
AACGAACGCUGGCGGCAGGCUUAACACAUGCAAGUCGAACGCCCCGCAAGGGGAGUGGCGCACGGGUGAGUAACGCGUGGGAAUAUGCCCUUCGGUUCGGAAUAACACAGGGAAACUCGUGCUAAUACCGGAUACGAUCUACGGAUGAAAGAUUUAUCGCCGAGGGAGUAGCCCGCGUAGGAUUAGCUAGUUGGUGAGGUAAUGGCUCACCAAGGCGACGAUCCUUAGCUGGUCUGAGAGGAUGAUCAGCCACACUGGGACUGAGACACGGCCCAGACUCCUACGGGAGGCAGCAGUGGGGAAUAUUGGACAAUGGGCGAAAGCCUGAUCCAGCCAUGCCGCGUGAGUGAUGAAGGCCUUAGGGUUGUAAGCUCUUUACCCGAGAUGAUAAUGACAGUAUCGGGAGAAUAAGCUCCGGCUAACUCCGUGCCAGCAGCCGCGGUAA